Molecule: long non-coding RNA, 1002 nt
Organism: Balaenoptera ricei (Rice's whale)
Lineage: Eukaryota; Metazoa; Chordata; Mammalia; Artiodactyla; Balaenopteridae
Exons: 3
Source: RefSeq, a predicted model, not a curated record
CACCGCGGCUGGGGGCUCCGGCGCCGUGGGCCUUCCCGCCACCGGUUGCAGCCGUCUGCGUGUGCUCUGGCCGGUAACCGGGCCGACAGAGAGUCUGGGAAGAUCUUUGUAACUGCCUGGACCAAGAGAACAUGGCAGAAGUGAUGCUGAAUGGCUUCCGGAGCUGAGUCGUGAAAGGUGGUGCAGCUUCCACCCACUGUCUUUCUUGAGCUGCAUCCUUUGGGAGCCGUGAGCUGACAGAACCCCCCCGGAGAAGGGUGCCAUACUGGGGCUUCGCAUGGGCCUCCGAUGGCCCCCCGGGCACUCAGCCGUGGCCGUGGGCAGAUCGGCGGUGGAGAAGUCCACGUGGUUGAGCCACAUGCGCCCCCCACCCCGCUGCCAGGACCAUUUCACGCGGCCCCACGGAGCAAGCACCAGGGCCGUGGGAGGAGGCUGGCAGACAGCAAAGGGUUUUCCACUUCCGCGGUGAGAAGGAACCUUUGCAGAGGACGCUCUCCGAUGGGCACUCAUGUGGCGUGGAUGUCGUCACACUCAGAUCUGAACCUGCUCCGAGAGGUCCUCACCAGGUUCCCCUGCUCCUCCGGGGCUGCGGGCUGACCCUCUGGCCACGCCCUGAAUCUGUGCGCACACUCAGAUCAGGCCCUGCGCAUCCCUCCCACCGGCCGAAACUCCAGGAAGCCUGGACCAGGGAGCCAGGCUGACGCUGUGCACAGGUCAGUUUUCCAGAAUGUAGAGAAGACACCGAAGGAGAAAGGAUCCGAGGGGCAAAGAGACUGUCCCGUCCACCGCACGUGAGCGUGCGUCCAGCUCUGCAUUCUGUCCCAUAUAAUGCGAGCCUAUUCUUGCUCCAAAGCCACGCAUAUCAGCCCUAGGACUCGGCAUGCCUGGCUAGUUGCAGGGCAUGUCCCUUCACUUUCCCUAGAAUCAGCAGGUCAAGUUCCAUUAAAAAAAAACCCAAAAACCCUUAUUGACACUUUGAUUGUCAGGCCAAUAAGUUCUUAA